UUGGAGGGCAAGUCUGGUGCCAGCAGCCGCGGUAAUUCCAGCUCCAAUAGCGUAUAUUGAAGUUGUUGCAGUUAAAAAGCUCGUAGUUGAAUUUCGGGAUUGACACAUCGGUCGUGCCUUAAGGGGUAUGAACUGGUGUAGUCAAUUUCUCACCUUCUGGAGAACCACGAUGCCCUUAAUUGGGUGUCGCGGGGAACCAGGACCUUUACUUUGAAAAAAUUAGAGUGUUUAAAGCAGGCAUUUUGCUUGAAUACAUUAGCAUGGAAUAAUAAAAUAGGACGGCAUGAUUCUAUUUUGUUGGUUUCUAGGAUCACCGUAAUGAUUAAUAGGGAUAGUUGGGGGCAUUAGUAUUCAAUUGUCAGAGGUGAAAUUCUUGGAUUUAUUGAAGACUAACUACUGCGAAAGCAUUUGCCAAGGAUGUUUUCAUUAAUCAAGAACGAAAGUUAGGGGAUCGAAGACGAUCAGAUACCGUCGUAGUCUUAACCAUAAACUAUGCCGACUAGGAAUCAGACGAUGUUAAUUUUUUAAUGACUCGU
RNAcentral lists this ribosomal RNA (536 nucleotides) under uncultured Glomus. Its description in RNAcentral is "SSU rRNA". It matches the Rfam family "Eukaryotic small subunit ribosomal RNA", at positions 548 to 1079 of the family's 1831-position model. Lineage: Eukaryota; Fungi; Glomeromycota; Glomeromycetes; Glomerales; Glomeraceae. The record is from RNAcentral.